RNAcentral lists this long non-coding RNA (279 nucleotides) under Mytilus galloprovincialis (Mediterranean mussel). The record is from RNAcentral. Lineage: Eukaryota; Metazoa; Mollusca; Bivalvia; Mytilida; Mytilidae.
AUGCCUGUAUCUGAUUUUUAAUCAGGAUGAUAUGACCUACUUUUAGUUGACCUAUUUGAUGUGUGACUUACUUGUGUGGAUUGAUGUCUGUGUCUGAGUCAUCAUCAGUAUGGUGUGAUCCAGGUUUGGUUGUCUUUGAAGUUUUGCUAAUUUCUACUUUAGGUAUACUAGUAUAUUUCUGUCUGCCUCUCUUCAUUUUUGGUAACCUCACAGUUUAACUGUUACAACAAGUCUAUGACUGCAUGCAUGAUUGUGAAGACAGAAGUAGCCUUAAGAAGC